AAUUUAGGGCUCGCUAUGGCUUGAUGGGUGGGAGCAGCUCGAAGAAGCGCCCUCUGAAAGUUGAACAAAAAGAAGAUGUAAUUGUACAGGAAAGGAUACCUGCUGGUACACGCGAGGCAAGUGAUCUUGUCCAGGAUGUCCAGGACUUUGUUGAAACCGUCCAUAUCGAUCAUAAUAAAGCCGAAACUCCUAAGAUGAUUGAAAAUGACCUGGAAAAUUCCAACAAGACCCUCUCCUUUGACAAAGAAGAUAUGAUCGACUCAAACAAAAUAGUCUCUUCUGAAAACUCCUUCCCAACUCCAGGCUCCUCUCCUGUGAACUUCUCCAAAGAACCCUUCCCCUCCAACAACCUCCCCACGAGGUCCCCCCUCCAGUUUGAUCAGAAUAACACGGUCUCCUCUCGGAAACCUCCCCACCCUGUUGUGUCAGACGGCUUAAUGACCACGUCAAACAGGAACCAGACUAAUUUAGGUCAGAGUACACGACACUUUAGUUCAAUAUAUCGUCUGUUGGUAACCUUGGUAACGGGCAGGUCCUUGUUGGUAACCCUGGUAACGGUCAGGUCUCUCAGAAGCAGUUUAGUAAGAGUCAGAACUUCUACAAAAGCCGGGAUCAAACCGGUUCAGGUCGCUUCAACUCCUACAGUGGUCCGGUAGAGGACCACACCCCUUCACACUUCUCCGGGGUAUACAAUAGACAUGCUAGUGAUCCUAACACUAACAAGUCGGGAGGGGAUAGAGACGUCGCUUCUCUUCUCCGCAAGGACAAAUUCUCUCUCCUCGGUUCCCAACUCCAACAACAGGAAUCCCAAAUCUUCUCCCGCUCCCAACAAACAAACGGACAAACAAACGGACUGUCCCGGUCCUCAGCUCCAUUUCCUGCUCCUUCAUCAACUACAUACAAGUUCGACCCCGGCAAGUUCCGGCAAGUUAACGAGAGCACGCCUGUGAUCAGCACGGGACGAAAUGGUAGUAUCAAGAAGACUGGGCUAGCGUCCGGACCGCUUGAUGAUAGGGAUGAGGAACUAAUUGCGAGUAUUGAGCGGGAAUUUGACUUCAGUUAUUGAGCAUUCGUCAGAAAGUGUUAGCUAAUUAGUGACAUCAACAUUCUGCCCUCAGUAUUGUAUAUAUGACAGUAAACAGCAAGUAUCAUAUUAUUUCCAGAUAUUUUAGCAUCAGACAGUUUCAGAUCAUAUUCUUGAGAAUAGGGUUGUAUUGCUAAUGAAGAAGGUAAUAAACAGUAGAGUAAAGAUGGAAUUAACCCAUCAGGAAUUGAAACCGGGAAUGUUGUUGUCUUAUGCGUGAUUUAAUUUCACUUUUAAUGUCGUCACGUGAUAAAUCCGAUCCCGGACAUCCCACAAGAUCCCGAACAUCCCACAAGAUCCCGGACAUCCCAAAAGAUCCCGGGCAUCCCACGAGAUUCCGGACAUCCCAUGAAUUCUUGUAGUUGCUCAAUUCCUUAUUAGCUGAUGAUCUGUUGAUCGCAGAAAUAUGUAUAAAUAUUAACUAGUUUAGUGCACGAACCUGUAGAAUCUAUUUAUAAUUAUAAUAGGAA
Molecule: long non-coding RNA, 1554 nt
Organism: Bolinopsis microptera
Lineage: Eukaryota; Metazoa; Ctenophora; Tentaculata; Lobata; Bolinopsidae
Exons: 3
Source: RefSeq, a predicted model, not a curated record